CUCCCCACGAUGUGUAUUCAAAGCGUUGUGUAGAUCUAAGAAGUGGUGUGGGUUUAGUAUAAAUAUAUGUGAGAUUCUUCUCCUUGAAGUCAUCUUCUCUUGAUUAGAAAUCCGGCCGUCGCUCUUCCACCGUCGACGUGUGGCUGCUCAUACCACCCUAAUUUGUACAUGGCUAUGUUUCCCUACUCCCUACUCCCUAGCCCUCCCACUUUCAACAACUUUUAUGAGGUUUGUUCCCAGUGUGUCUGAGUGUAGACUGGUUUUCUAUAAGUGCGACAUAAAUUCAGACUCCUUAGGGUGUUUUGUGAUUUCUUCUCCAAUCAAUUCCAAUCUCACUUCGUUUUACAAGAUUUUUUUCAUUGUUGUUUCGGGUGGGUCUAACGGUGAUGGUGAAGCUGAGAUAGUCGCAACGAUUUUCGACAUUGAUGCUGGAUGAGAGUUUCAGAAGAAGAGCAUUGUUGUUGCUAUUUACUUUGACCAAGAUGACGAGACUGAGUGAUUGUUGAAGUUAUGUCUACGAAUGGACUCUAAUGAGUAUGAGUGUCUGGAGAAAAAAUUCGUGUAUGGUUGGUGAUGAAAAAGCCAAACCUGAAGUAAAAGAUAGGACUAGAAGCACAGGCAUAUGAGAGACGGAGACGAGGAUGGUCGAUGUUCUGAGCCGUCGAGGUUGCACCAACGUUCAUUAUCUAGAGACAGAGAGAGGGAUAUGCAUAGAGAUAUUCAGGAGCACAGAGACGUGAGAGUUAUAGGGCUCGCUAAAAGGGUGGAGAUGAGAAGAUAUAAACGGAAAGAGAGAGUGGCUCUUAUUUUUGAUGCACUGCAGAAGCAGGUGAAUAACUAAGAAAGAUAAACAGGGUUCAUCUUCAAACGAAUCUAUCACCAUUAAUGGAGUUUCAGGAGGUUGUGUGAGGCGAAUUUUCAUGCGGAAUAAUUGGGUCGAGCUUCGUUUGUGUCGGCGGUGUAUAUCCACCUAUAAAAGGUUGUCUCCGAUAAAAGCAAAGAGUCGGGUGGGGAUUCUACCAUUACAGCUUUGAGGUAAUUGUGUAAGUCUCGAGUAUUUUUUUUUUCCAUCUAUGUGCUUCCAUGUUGCUGUUAGAAGCUACGGUUUGAACACUGCUAGCUUUAAUUUUGUAGUGCGCCUUUCUUGAUGAUAUCAUCCAAAGAGUUUCUUUGUUACACUUUGAUUCUUAUGUUUUGAAAUGUAUUAGAAACUACGGUUUCAUAUGUGUUCUUCAUAUGUUGCCGUUAGAAGCUACAGUUUUUUCCUUCAACAUAAUAUAUCUCUUGGUCGAUUUCACUUUCACAUGAAGCGAUAAGUUUGGACACUGCUAACUGUUAUUUGUUAAUUCAUCUGUGAUGAUAUCACCCAAAGAGUCUCUAUUAUUACGCUUUGAUUCUUAAGUUCUGAAUUGAAACAUGCACUGCAAGUGGAAGAAGAUGGAGCUCAUGUCAUUCACAAAAACUGCAGUAGAUGUGGUGCAGGAAGCAUAGGCAAGUAAAACUCACUGAAUGUAGAACUGCUGUUGGUGCUUUUGGAGGUGGAGAAUAUACUAAUGGAGUGUAUGCAACAGCGCUUAUGGUGGCUAAAGCUGGGAGGAGCGACCGUCCUGCCAUUCCAGGCUUAAACAGACCACCUUUCCUUCCCGUUGAGAUACUCAGAGAAACUAUGGGUGAUGUCAUGCGAAGACGCCUUACAGAAUACAAGUCUCUGUUUCCCGCAAUCGAUUUUUCAACUGUAAGAACAUUAUAUUGGUUACAUCUGAUCAAUAUAUCUUUACUGAUAAUAAAUUGUUAGAAAGAUUCUUAUUCUUGCCUAUGUAUGUUGUAUUAGAUUGUAGGUGACAAUGAUUGUAUUAAUUGAUACUUUUUUUUC
Brassica oleracea var. oleracea is the source of this 1873-nucleotide long non-coding RNA. RefSeq lists it as uncharacterized. The transcript has 7 exons. NCBI's taxonomy places the organism in Eukaryota, Viridiplantae, Streptophyta, Magnoliopsida, Brassicales, Brassicaceae. The record is from RefSeq and is a predicted model, not a curated record.